AGGAUGAACGCUGGCGGCGUGCCUAAUACAUGCAAGUCGAGCGGUAAGGCCUCUUCGGAGGUACACGAGCGGCGGACGGCUGAGUAACGCGUAGGAACCUACCCUAAAGUGAGGGAUAAGCACCAGAAAUGGUGUCUAAUACCGCAUAUGCUCUUCGGAGUAAAGCUACGGCGCUUUGGGAAGGGCCUGCGUAUGAUUAGCUUGUUGGUGAGGUAAAAGCUCACCAAGGCGACGAUCAUUAGCUGGUCUGAGAGGAUGAUCAGCCAGACUGGGACUGAGAACGGCCCAGACUCCUACGGAGGCAGCAGUAGGGAAUAUUCCACAAUGGGCGAAAGCCUGAUGGAGCAACGCCGCGUGCAGGAUGAAGGCCUUCGGGUUGUAAACUGCUUUUAUAUGUGAAGAUUUUGACGGUAGCAUAUGAAUAAGGAUCGGCUAACUCCGUGCCAGCAGCCGC
This 454-nucleotide ribosomal RNA is filed under the name uncultured bacterium. RNAcentral describes it as "SSU rRNA". It matches the Rfam family "Bacterial small subunit ribosomal RNA", at positions 26 to 518 of the family's 1533-position model. The record is from RNAcentral.